This 570-nucleotide ribosomal RNA is filed under the name uncultured bacterium. Its description in RNAcentral is "bacterial SSU rRNA". It matches the Rfam family "Bacterial small subunit ribosomal RNA", at positions 337 to 918 of the family's 1533-position model. The record is from RNAcentral.
UUCUACGGGAGGCAGCAGUGGGGAAUAUUGGGCAAUGGAGGAAACUCUGACCCAGCGACGCCGCGUGCGGGAUGAAGGCCUUCGGGUUGUAAACCGCUUUCAGUAGGGAAGAAGCGAAAGUGACGGUACCUACAAAAGAAGCACCGGCUAACUAUGUGCCAGCAGCCGCGGUAAUACAUAGGGUGCAAGCGUUGUCCGGAAUUAUUGGGCGUAAAGAGCUCGUAGGUCGUUUGUUACGUCGGAUGUGAAAACCUGAGGCUCAACCUCAGGCCUGCAUUCGAUACGGGCAAACUAGAGUUUGGUAGGGGAGACUGGAAUUCCUGGUGUAGCGGUGGAAUGCGCAGAUAUCAGGAGGAACACCAAUGGCGAAGGCAGGUCUCUGGGCCAAUACUGACACUGAGGAGCGAAAGUCUGGGGAGCGAACAGGAUUAGAUACCCUGGUAGUCCAGACCGUAAACGGUGGGCACUAGUUGUGGGAACCUUCCACGGUUUCUGCGACGCAGCUAACGCAUUAAGUGCCCCGCCUGGGGAGUACGAUCGCAAGAUUAAAACUCAAAGGAAUUGACGGAA